AUUUAAGCAAAUUUUCUUUCACUCCCCUGAAUAAAAUGUCUGUCUUGCUUCUUGUAGUGACGAGUCUCUCUCCCACACUCCAAAAUCAUUCUCAUUGAGAUGAACGCAUUCUUCAGACCAUUGGUUACUGGAAUUUCAAAUGGGAAUUUAAAUUUUCUUUUUUGAGAUUCCAUUGAAAAUUAUGAACAAUGCUAGUUCCUUUCUCGCGAUUCCUCAAAUCCACAGUAAACCCUGGUCCAUGCUUCUUCAGAAAAUGCUUUAACUCAUGGGCUUCAGAAAUCAAGAAUGCCUCCUCCCCGUACAAAGCUUUGGACCUCUACUUCCAAAUGCACCGUCGUUCCAUCCCUUUUGAUAGCUUCUCUGUUCUUUUCACGCUCAAAUCAUGUACCCGUUUGCAGAGUCUUAUCAUUAUUCGUCAUCUGCAUUCUCAUAUAAUCAAAUUGGGAUUCAUCACUCACGUCUAUGUUGCCACUUCUCUUCUUCAUGCUUAUGUUGUCACAUCCUUUAGUAAUGCGUGUCUAUUGUUCGAUGAAAUGCCUGAGAGAAACACUAUUACGUGGAAUACAAUGAUUACAGGGUAUUCAAGGUCAGGGAAUAUCAAUAAAGCACGCGCCAUUUUUGAGGAAAUGACAUUGAGGGAUGUGACCUCUUUGUCUGCCAUUAUCAAGGCCUACUUUGACCAUGGCUAUUGGGGUAAAGGGUUAUCGUUAUUUCGAGAAAUGAUAUCGAGUGGGGAAAUAAAACCAGACCUAGUGACCGUGGGAACUGUUUUAUCAAGUUGCGUAAACUUGGGUGCUCUUGCACUGCUAGUUGGGAAAUCAGUUCAUGGCUUUACAGUGAAGAAUGGGUGGGAGCUGAAUGUGCAAAUUGGCACAAUUCUGGUUGACUUGUAUGCAAAGUGUGGAUACAUGAAGAAUGCUUUCCGGGUUUUUGAUUUGAUGCAAGAAAGGAAUGUCAUGAGUUGGACUGCAUUGAUAUGUGGGGCAGCACAACAUGGCUUUAGUCAAGAAGCGUUGAUCUUGUUUAAGAUGAUGCAAAAGACAAACGUUAGACCUAAUGAACUGACUUUCACAGGUAUUCUCAAUGCAUGUACUCUUUCCGGGAUGGUUGAAGAAGGCCGAAAGUAUUUCAAGAUGAUUGAAGAGUAUGGUUUGGAGCACAGAAUUCAGCAUUAUGGAUGCAUGGUUGAUCUGCUUGGUAAGGCAGGGUUGUUAGAGGAAGCUUAUGAGGUUAUUAAGACAAUGAAAUUUAAGACUAAUGUUGUUAUCUGGGGCUCCUUUUUGUCAGCGUGCAAGGAGCACAAGCAGUUUGACAUGGCUGAAAGCGUGAUUGAACAGAUCUUGAGUGCAAUAGAUCCAGAGAAUGAUGGGGGCAUUUAUGCUCUUAUUUGUGAUUUGUAUGCUUUAAACGAGAAAUGGGAUGAUGCAGAGAGGGUGAGGAAAUUAAUGCUUGAUCAAAAUGUGAGAAAAGCCAGAGGAUCUAGUUUUAUCAGAAGUUGAUUAUAGGGCGUACAUUCAUCUGUUCUCAGGCAACUUUCCAGGACUGAAGAACUAGUUCAUCAAUGAUUAUUCAGCUUCCAAUAGUUUUGACUUUUGAAUGUUGAUCUUUCUAUGAGUGGUUAUGGCAUAUCAAUCCGUGUUUACGGCUUCGAUCAGUACAGCAAGAAGACAGCAAAAAAGAAGAAUUUUAGAUUGCUUAUGCCCUGUAUCAACGUUUAAAAUGAACAUUUGUCCUAUUUGCUAACUACAUUUUCGGGAAAGAAAAAAGGAUUUGGAGCACUUUGGGGUUUCAUUUCCUG
This 1798-nucleotide unclassified non-coding RNA is filed under the name Hevea brasiliensis (rubber tree). Lineage: Eukaryota; Viridiplantae; Streptophyta; Magnoliopsida; Malpighiales; Euphorbiaceae. The record is from RNAcentral.